RNAcentral lists this unclassified non-coding RNA (461 nucleotides) under Zea mays. RNAcentral describes it as "misc RNA Zm00001eb040670". The record is from RNAcentral. Lineage: Eukaryota; Viridiplantae; Streptophyta; Magnoliopsida; Poales; Poaceae.
UUUGGAAGUGGGGUUGCCACAGGUAAGUUUGCAAUGGGUUCAAAUGAGCCUUUGGGCAAGCCAACUGACAUUGUUGACAUCCUAGAUGAUGGCAUUGAAGUGACCUCAAAGUUUGUUGAUUGUUCCAAUCUAACUAACAAGGGGAAGACUGUUGACAAGGGUACCCCUGGUGAGUCCAAUGAUAACAAGCCUAACUUAGGGAAGAGGAAGAGGUUCAUGACUGAUGAGGAUGUUGCUGUGUUCAAUGGGAUGAAACAAGCUGUUUCAGAUGUUGCUGCUGCUGUCCGUGAAAGCAUCCAUGCUGAAGCAGCACCUGGGAUCUACAAUGUUGUAAUCAACUGUCCUGGGUUCUCUAGGGAGGCUCUCAUGUAUGCCCUAAACCACAUGAUGGAGCACAAGGCCACCUCCCUGGUGUUCCUGGACAUGACUCCUGAUGAUCGUGACCUAUGGCUCAAGACUUU